GAUGAACGCUGGCGGCGUGCCUAAUACAUGCAAGUCGAGCGAAUGGAUUAAGAGCUUGCUCUUAUGAAGUUAGCGGCGGACGGGUGAGUAACACGUGGGUAACCUGCCCAUAAGACUGGGAUAACUCCGGGAAACCGGGGCUAAUACCGGAUAACAUUUUGAACCGCAUGGUUCGAAAUUGAAAGGCGGCUUCGGCUGUCACUUAUGGAUGGACCCGGGUCGCAUUAGCUAGUUGGUGAGGUAACGGCUCACCAAGGCAACGAUGCGUAGCCGACCUGAGAGGGUGAUCGGCCACACUGGGGCUGAGAAACGGCCCAGACUCCUACGGGAGGCAGCAGUAGGGAAUCUUCCGCAAUGGACGAAAGUCUGACGGAGCAACGCCGCGUGAGUGAUGAAGGCUUUCGGGUCGUAAAACUCUGUUGUUAGGGAAGAACAUGUGCUAGUUGAAUAAGCUGGCACCUUGACGGUACCUAACCAGAAAGCCACGGCUAACUACGUGCCAGCCGCCGCCGUAA
RNAcentral lists this ribosomal RNA (515 nucleotides) under uncultured bacterium. RNAcentral describes it as "partial 16S ribosomal RNA". It matches the Rfam family "Bacterial small subunit ribosomal RNA", at positions 28 to 523 of the family's 1533-position model. The record is from RNAcentral.